This 343-nucleotide long non-coding RNA is filed under the name Homo sapiens (human). RNAcentral's name for it is "HSALNT0326009". Lineage: Eukaryota; Metazoa; Chordata; Mammalia; Primates; Hominidae. The record is from RNAcentral.
AGUCCUUCUAGAGAUUGUGGGGGAACAACAGUGCCUUCUCUCUUUCCUCACUCAGGUCUUGUUAGUCCUUUGGAGACUUAGAAAAGCUGAGGAAGAACCACCUAGUUCACCCUAUCCCCCAGGUAAUAGAACCUGACUUUAUUCACAUCUGGGUAAAAGAAGUCAAGCUUGGUAUGGGAGAAGAAGCGGAAUAUAGGCACGGUCUUUACUGUGUGCUCUGCAGAAUGAAGGAGCUGGACUACAUCAAGGAUUCUGAAGGUGGGGCUACAUUUUCCUAUUCACCCCUCCACCCCAGGAAUCUUCAUGCAAUAAUGAAAAGAGAUGCAAUAUUGAUGGGAAUAUG